AUGGAUCCUGCCGUGAAGAAAUUUCUUGAAGACAACCAAUUGGGCCACUAUGCGGCUAAAUUCGAAGAGGAAGAAGUUAUAUAUGAAGAUUUAUCCAAAUUCAGUCCAGUCAAAGCGAAGGAGCUGAUACCCAAAACAGGGCCAAGAAUCCGGUUCCUUGAAGCAGUCUCAAAAUUAAAGCGCCGAUGCUUAGAAGAUAAUGCUGCCUCAACAUCUACUGAUGGAGUAAGAAUCUUGGAUCAAACAAAUGAUAGCUUUAGUACAGCGGAGACUGAAAACCAAGUUGAAACCAAUGAGAGCAACGAGAACUCGUCUAAAUUGGAAACAGACAAGUCUGCUGCAGAGAUUAUUGGUGUAUCUGCAAAUCUUGGGACCUCUGGGCAAAGUAGUGAAAUAUUAGAGUCAAAAACAAAGGAGCCUGAGGUGGUCUUAAACGUUCAACCUGAAGAAUCAACUCCAGAGGCUUCCAAAAAAAGAAAGGUUGAGGUUGCGGUUGAAUCAGCCGCUCAGCCUUCUGUUGUGGUCACCGUUGAUCCUCCUCUCCUCAGUAGUCUUGUGACAGGGUUAAUUCCACCUUGCUUGAAGGAGUUCAACUUAGAUUUGGCAACAGAUAAAGAAAAAGAAGAGCUGAGAGAUUUCCUUGAAAAUUUGUUAAAAUCGUCAGUUGAAGGGACGUAUGUCCUAAAUGCUCUCCUCAAAGAGCAAGCAAAUGACAAGGUCCGUGACAGCCUUUGUCGCAUUUUACUGAGCUUUGGCGUCAACAACUCCAUUGCAAAAGGACAGAUAAGUCCAAGCAGGUUUAAGUAUCUGGCUCUUUCAGUCAAAGCGCUGUUUCCGACUGAAAGUCCGUUGACGUACUAUGUGCCGCAGGCAGGGAAAAAAUCCCCAAAGGCAAGCUCUACUGGAAAUAUACCACUCAGCGCUCAAAGUUCAGAAACGCAGGACUAG
RNAcentral lists this long non-coding RNA (948 nucleotides) under Bemisia tabaci. RNAcentral's name for it is "lncRNA ENSSSA1UGG006432". Lineage: Eukaryota; Metazoa; Arthropoda; Insecta; Hemiptera; Aleyrodidae. The record is from RNAcentral.